This 519-nucleotide ribosomal RNA is filed under the name uncultured bacterium. RNAcentral describes it as "bacterial SSU rRNA". It matches the Rfam family "Bacterial small subunit ribosomal RNA", at positions 18 to 518 of the family's 1533-position model. The record is from RNAcentral.
CUUGGUUCAGAACGAACGCUGGCGGCGUGCUUAACACAUGCAAGUCGAACGCGAAAGGGACUUCGGUCCUGAGUAAAGUGGCGCACGGGUGAGUAACGCGUAGAUAACCUGUCUUCAUGUCUGGAAUAAUACGCCGAAAGGGGUACUAAUACCGGAUAUUCUUGCUUUUCAUAAGUUAUGCAAGCAAAGGUGGCCUCUGCAUAUGCUACUGCAUGAAGAGGGGUCUGCGUACCAUUAGCUAGUAGGUGGGUAAUGGCCUACCUAGGCGACGAUGGUUAGCGGGUCUGAGAGGAUGAUCCGCCACACUGGCACUGGAACACGGGCCAGACUCCUACGGGAGGCAGCAGUGAGGAAUAUUGCGCAAUGGGGAAACCCUGACGCAGCGACGCCGCGUGAGUGAAGGAAGGCCUUCGGGUCGUAAAGCUCUGUCAAGAGGAAAGAAGUGUACAAUGGCUAAUACCUGUUGUAUUUGACGGUACCUCUAAAGGAAGCACCGGCUAACUCCGUGCCAGCAGCCGC